GCAGUUGACGUGCAGGGGUUCUAGCUCUCAGGUAAAUACAGAGUUCAAUACACAGGUGAGUAUUCACAGGGCUAAGCUGUUAGCGUGCAGGGGUUCUAGCUCUCAAGUAAGUACAGUGUUCCAUACACAGGUAAGUAUUCACAGGGCUGGGCUGUUAGCGUGCAGGGGUUCUAGCUCUCAAUGUAAGUACAGUGUUCCAUACACAGGUAAGUAUUCACAGGGCUGAGCUGUUAGCGUGCAGGGGUUCUAGCUCUCAAUGUAAGUACAGUGUUCCAUACACAGGUAAGUAUUCACAGGGCUGAGCUGUUAGCGUGCAGGGGUUCUAGCUCUCAAUGUAAGUACAGUGUUCCAUACACAGGUGAGUAUUCACGGGGCUGGGCUGUUAAUGCGCUACUCACCACUGAAGAUAUUCAGAGG
Long non-coding RNA from Carassius gibelio (silver crucian carp), 417 nucleotides. RefSeq lists it as uncharacterized. The record is from RefSeq and is a predicted model, not a curated record. Lineage: Eukaryota; Metazoa; Chordata; Actinopteri; Cypriniformes; Cyprinidae. The transcript is spliced from 3 exons.